RNAcentral lists this ribosomal RNA (129 nucleotides) under Erinaceus europaeus (western European hedgehog). Lineage: Eukaryota; Metazoa; Chordata; Mammalia; Eulipotyphla; Erinaceidae. The record is from RNAcentral.
UUCUCCAGCCAGAUCACCCUGAACACACCCGAUCUCAGCUAAGCAGGGUCAGGCCUGGUUAGUACUUGGACUUGGACGGAGAAGCAGAUGUUCUGGGGCCUUAGAUGGGAAGUGCAGUGGCUACAGCAU